This 407-nucleotide ribosomal RNA is filed under the name uncultured bacterium. RNAcentral describes it as "bacterial SSU rRNA". It matches the Rfam family "Bacterial small subunit ribosomal RNA", at positions 29 to 481 of the family's 1533-position model. The record is from RNAcentral.
AGCGAACGCUGGCGGCAGGCUUAAUACAUGCAAGUCGAGCGGGCGUAGCAAUACGUCAGCGGCAGACGGGUGAGUAACACGUGGGAACGUGCCUUUUGGUUCGGAACAACCCAGGGAAACUUGGGCUAAUACCGGAUAAGCCCUUCGGGGGAAGAUUUAUCGCCAAAGAUCGGCCCGCGUCUGAUUAGCUAGUUGGUGGGGUAAUGGCCCACCGAGGCGACGAUCAGUAGCUGGUCUGAGAGGAUGAUCAGCCACACUGGGACUGAGACACGGCCCAGACUCCUACGGGAGGCAGCAGUAGGGAAUAUUGGACAAUGGGGGAAACCCUGAUCCAGCCAUGCCGCGUGAGUGAUGAAGGCCUUAGGGUUGUAAAGCUCUUUCAGCGGGGAAGAUAAUGACGGUACCCG